Molecule: long non-coding RNA, 7469 nt
Organism: Loxodonta africana (African savanna elephant)
Lineage: Eukaryota; Metazoa; Chordata; Mammalia; Proboscidea; Elephantidae
Exons: 7
Source: RefSeq, a predicted model, not a curated record
CAUUUAGUGGGUCUUCCUGGGGCCAGGGCCUGGGUCCACCCUCAUUUUUGGCUCAUGUCUGCUCUGUCUGUGGAAUCCAAGGACUGUGGCACUUUCUGAUGCCUGGCAGGGGUUUGUGCAGGGAAAUGGUUGGGUAAUUCCCCCUCCCUUUCCAACCAGGCUUACUUAGACAAGAAAGGUUCUAUUAUGUCCUCAGGAUAUUGAGUAAUAAGGGGGAGGAAGAGGGGAACUAAAAAGUGUCUAUUCAGCCUGGACAUUUCUGCUGACAUUCUCACGAAGCAUGUGCUACUUAAAAGGACAAAAUGAAAACAAGUUCCUCCUGCCUCCAACCACACUGUUCACGGGCUGAAAGGCCUCAGUCCCAUAAUUGAUCCACACACCCAGGGUUGUCUGGCUGCCACAGAAGUCAAGGAGGGGACUCUGGAUCACGGAGGACCCUCCACCGCUCGGAAAGUUUGGGACCUAACUACACCUGUGGUCAGGAGGUUGGAAGUUUGAGUCCACCCAAUGGCACCUCGGAAGAAAGGCCCGGCACUCUACUUCAGAAAAAUCAGCCAUUGAAAACCCUAAGCAGUUCUACUCUGACACACAUCAGGCUACCAUGAGCCAGAAUCAACUCAGCAACAACUGGAUGACACAACCUUACUUGCUGAAAGUGAAGAGGACUUGAAGCACUUACUGAUGAAGGACAAAAACUACAGCCUUUAGUAUGGAUUACACCUCAACAUAAAGAAAACAAAAGUCCUCACAACUGGACCAAUAAGCAACAUCAUGAUAAUCAGAGGAAGUAUUAAAGUUGUCAAGGAUAUCAUUUCACUUGGCUCCACAAUCAACACCCAUGGAAGCAGCAGUCAAGAAAUCAAACAACAUAUUGCAUUGGGCAAAUCGUUUGCAAAAAAUGUAUUUUAAGUAUUAAAAAGCAAAGAUGUCACUUUGAGGACUAAUGUGCGCCUGACCCAAGUCAUGAUAUUUUCAAUUGCCUUAUAUGCCUGUGACAGCUGGACAAUGAAUAAAGAAGACGAGAGAAGAAUUGAUGACUUUGAUUUAUGGUGUUGGUAAAGAAUAUUGAAUAUACCAUGGACUACUAGAAGAAUGAACAAACUUAUCUUGGAAGAAGUACAGCCAGAAUGCUCCUUAGAAGGGAGAACGGUGAGACUUCAUCUCAUAUACCAUGGACUACCAGAAGAAUGAACAAACUUAUGUUGGAAGAAGUACAGCCAGAAUGCUCCUUAGAAGGGAGAACGGUGAGACUUCAUCUCACAUACUUUGGAUAUGUUAUGAGGAGGGACUGGACCCUGGAGAAGGACAUCAUCCUUGGUAAAACAGAGGGUCAUUGAGGAAGAGGAGACUCAGCAAGAUGGAUUGAUACAGUGGCUGCAACAAGUUGCUCAAGCAUAACAACGAUUGUGAGGAUGGCCCAGGACUGGGCAGUCCUUGGCUCUGUUGUACAUAGGGCUGCUAUGAGUCAGAACUGACUCAACGGCACCUUACAACAACAACAAUAUAAAAUGUAAACAAAUACAGGAAAUAAAAAGAGACUUAAAAAAAUACUAUUUCUAAUAACUUCUCUUUAUGUCUUAAACUCUUCUUCUGGUGCAUUCUCUCUACUUUGGAACUCACUGGUGUAAAGACAAGGAGAGAAAACCAUAACACUAGAAGUAAGGAAGGGACCCAGAGAUUCCUUUCAACAAAACCAGCAAUGAUUCCUACAGCUUCUCAAAAGAAAUUGAAGUAGCCACCCUGUUGGUUCCACCUCCCCUGGGACAGAAAGAUUUCCACACAUAUUCUGGACCCUGGAUGCACUAACUUUGGAAGAGCGGUCGCCUACAGUAACGUGCUGUCACAGUCUUUCCAGAACUGAAGGGCGAGGAAGAAGAGACGUUGGGUGUUAGCACUCCUGAAUACUGACAACCACAGAUUUUAACUUUAAAUCACCAGGGCCAGAAGGAGGACCAACGGAUGAAAAUUACAGGAAGGCAGAGCUGGCUUAAUAUGAGAAGAAACUUGGACAUGUCCAAAAAAUGAAUAGGUUAACUUUCAAGACAGCCUGUUUUCCCUCUUCUGAGGUCUGUGGAAUUCGUCCAGCAGCUUAAAAGGAGUCCAAGCAAGCCUCUUCAGUUUCAGGCAGUAGAGGAAAACCAUUCCUAUUUAAGGGAACACCUACUGUCUGGCCACUGUUUGGGUGUAGUUGAUUUGAUUCCUGUGUACUCCAUCUGGUGAGGUCCACGUGUAUAGUGGCCAUUUAUGCUGGUGAAAAAAAGGUAUUUAAAAUGAAGAAGUCGUUGGCCUUACAAAAUUCUAUCAUUCCAUCUCUGGCAUUGUUUCUACCACCAAGGCCAUAUUUUCCAGAUGCUGAUAUUUCUUCUUUGUUCCAACUUUUGCAUUCCAAUCACCAGUUAUUAUCAAUGUAUCCUGACUGCAUGCUCAAUCAAUUUCAGACUGUAGAAGUUGGUAAAAAUAUUCAAUUUCUUCAUCUGUGGCCUUAGUGGUUGGUGUGUAAAUCUGAAUAAUAGUCAUAUUAACCGGUCUUCCUUGUAGGCUUAUGGAUAUUAGCCUACCACUGACAGUGUUGUACUUCAGGAUGAAUCUCGAAAUGUUCUUUUUGAGAAUGAAUGCAGUGCCAUUCCUCUUGAAGUUGUCAUUCCCAGCAUAGUAGACUGUAUGAUUGAUUCAAAAUGGCCAAUACGAGUCUAUUUCAGCUCACUAAUACUUUAGGAUCUCUAUGCUUAUGUGUUCCAUUUCAUUUUUGACGAUUUCCAAUUUUCUUAGAUUCAUACUUCGUACAUUCCAGGUUCUGAUUAUUAAUGGAUAUCUGCACCUGUUUCUUCUCAAUUUGUACCAUGCCACAACAGCAAAUGAAGGUCCUGAAAGCUUGACUUUAUCCGUGUCAUUAAGGUCAACUCUACUUUGAGGAGGCAGCUAUUCCCCAGUUGUCUUUUGAGUGCCUUCCAAUCUGGGGGGCUCAUCUUCCAGCACUAUAUCAGACAAUGUUCCACUGCUAUUCUUAAGGUUUUCACUGGGUAAUGCUUUUCAGAAGUAGACUACCAGGUCCUUCUUCCUAGUCUGUCUUCCUCUGGAAGCUUAGCUGAAACCUGUUUGCCGUGAGUGACCCUGUUGGUAUCUGGAUACUGGUGGCAUAUCCUCCAGCAUCGCAGCAACAUGCAAGCCUCCACAGUACAACAAACUGACAGACUAAAAUGGAUAUCAGAAGGGACUCUGAAACUUGCUCUUGAAUGUCAAGUAGCUAAAGCAAAAGGAAGAAAUGAUGAGGUAAAAGAAUUGAACAGAAGAUUUCAAAGGGCAGCUCCAAAAGACAAAGUAGAGUAUUAUAAUGACAUGUGCAAAGAGCUGGAGAUGGAAAACCAAAAGGGAAAAACGUGCCUGACAUUUCUCAAGCUGAAAGAACUGAAGAAAAAAUUCAAGCCUCGAGUUGCAAUAGUGAAGGAUUCCAUGGGGGAAAAUAUUAAACAACACAGGAAGCAUCAAAAGAAUGUGGAAGGAAUAUACAGAGUCAUUAUACCAAAAAGAAUUGGUUGACGUUCAAUCAUUUCAAGAGGUAGCAUAUGAUCAAGAACUGAAGGAAGAAGCCUGAGCUGCACUGAAGGCAUUGGCAAAAAAAAAGGCUCCAGGAAUUGACAGAAUAUCAAUUGAGAUGUUUCAACAAAUGGAUACAGCACUGGAAGUGCUCACUCGUCUAUGCCAGGAAAUUUGCCAAUUGACUGGGAGAGAUCCAUAUUUAUGCCUAUUCCCAAGAAAGGUGAUCCAACUGAAUGUGGAAGUUAUUGAACAAUAUCAUUAAUACCACACGCAAGUCAAAUUUUGUUGAAGAUUAUUCAAAAGCAGCUGCAGCAAUAUAUUGACGGGGAACUGCCCAAAAUUCAGGCUGGAUUCAGAGAAGGACAUAGGACUGGGAUAUCAUUACUGAUGUCAGAUGGAUCCUGGCUGAAAGCAGAUAAUACUAGAAAGAUGUUUACCUGUGUUUUAUUCACUAUGCAAAGGCAUUCGACUGUGUGGAUCAUAACAAAUAAUACAUAACAUUACGAAGAAUUUGAAUUCCGGAACACUUAAUUGUGCUCAUGAGGAACCUGUACAUAGAUCAAGAGGCAGUUGUUUGAACAGAACAAGGGGAUACUGCAUGUUUUAAAGUCAGGAAAGGUGUGUAUCAGGGUUGUAUCCAUACCUAUUCAAUCUGUAUGGUGAGUAAAUAAUCUGAGAAGCUGGACUGUAUGAAGAAGAACAGGGAAUCAGGAUUGGAGGAAUACUCAUUAACAACCCAUGUUAGGUAGGUGAAACAACCUUGCUUGCUGAAAGAGGACUUGAAGUACUUACUGAUGAAGAUCAAAGAUCACAGCCUUCAGUAUGGAUUACACCUCAACAUAAAGAAAACAAAAAUCUUCACAAGUGGACCAAUAAGCAACAUCAUGAUAAGUGGAGAAAAGAUUGAAGUUGUCAAGGGUUGCAUUUUACUUGGAUCCACAAUCAACACCUAUGGAAGCAGUGGUUAAGAAAUCAAAACACACAUUGUGUUGGGCAAAUCUGUUGUGAAAGACCUCUUUAAAAUGUUGAAAAUCAAAGACAUCACCUUGAAGACUAAGGUGUGCCUGACCCAAGCCAUGGCGUGUUCAGUUGUAUCAUAUGCAUGCAAAAGCUGGACAACAAAUAAGGAAAACCAAAGAUGAAUUAACACCUUUGAAUUGUGGUGCUUGAGAAGAACAUUGAAUAGAUCGUGGACCGCCAGAAGAAUGAACAAAUGUCUUGGAAGAAGUACAACCAGAAUGCUCCUUAGAAACAAGGAUGGCGAGACUACAUCUUACAUACUUUGGACAUGAUAUCAGGAAGGAUCAAUCCCUGCAGAAGGACAUCAUGCUUGGUAGAGUGUCAUCGAAAAAGAGAAAGACUCUCAACUAGAUGGAUUGACACAGUGGCUGUAACAAUGGGCUGAAGCAUAACAACGAUUGUGAGCAUGGCUCAGGACUGGGCAGUGUUUCAUUUUGUAGUACAUAGGGUCACUAUGAGCCGGAAUGGAUCUGACGGCACCUAACAACAAUAACAACAACAGUAAAAUGUUGGCUAUUGUUGUUAUAUUAUUCCUUAUUCCUUAAACUACAAAAUUUGAAAAGUGAAUUGAACCUUGAUAGAGCUCAGGACAACGCUAUACUAAAAGGAGGAAGCUAGAAACAAUCUGUUUUUCUAUUUCCAGAGAAAAGUAAGUUUACUGCCUGAAUUAUGUAGAUGACUAUUCUAUUCUUUGAUUUUCCCUAAAAGGAGCAGAUUUGAGGAAUAUAUAAAGCAUUCCUAUAAAAUCAGGAAAUCAAGUAUAAAAUUUACAAUGCAAGAAAGUGAAUUCAUGAAGUCAAUGUAUUAAAGAUACCUCUCAAAUAUGAAUAAGGAUGCUUCUUUUCACUCUUUAAAGAACUAAAACUCAGUUUUAUUACCAUGAAAUAAAAAUGUUCAUAAACACUGCCGCUACUCAUCUGGGAAGCCCAGAACCUUCUAUACUCUUCAGAUACUACACCUGUCAUUCACCAAGAACCCUUGUGAGAUGGCAAUGACAAAAUCCAAGUGAAAAUUGCAUGAGCCGAGGUUGGCUUAUAGUUGGCUUAUAUUUUCUGAAGGAAGAAUUCUGUGUUACAGUUAUGAUCUCAGUGUUUCCCAUAAUUCAAGAGAAAUAGAAUGGCAUACAUAUCCUCCUUUCUAUCUAGAGUGGAGAUAUUUUCAAAAACUAUGUUAGUUAUUAAAUUAGAAGCACGGUUGUAUCUUAAUCAGAUCAGAGUCCUUUAAAAUUACGAGUCUGACAGCAAAUAUAUUGGUCAUCUGGGAUAUGCAAGAUAACAUGGUGGGACACAACAUAAUAAUUGUGGAGAAAAUACAUUUGCAUAUCAAAGGUGCUUGAGGAAAAUUUCAAGGCAUUGACAAGAGAAAUGCUGAUGGCAAGACAGGCCUAAUCAAGGGGGACUAGAGUAGGUUGAGAGUCAAAAGUAGGUUUCAUGAAGGAAUAAUGUUGGAGCCAAGUAUUAAAGGAGGUUUCAGACUCGGGGGAAGAUGUCAAAGGCACUGGGAAAAUGGAGGAGAAAUAUCCCAAGCUCAGCUACAAGAGGCAGAUAUGAAAAGAUCUUAUACUCUGUCUCGCCAUAUGCCUGUAUUUACGAAAAUGUUAAUAGCAGUUUUCUUCAGAGAGUGCUAUUUUUAAUUGUUUAAGAUUUUUUGGUAUAUUUUGAAAAAGUUUCUCAUCACAUUCGUUCCUUUUUUAUAAGAGAAGACAACUGUGGAGCUAUUUCUAUUCAGGAAGGAAAGUUGAUUGCUGAUAUUUCAUUUACUGGACAAAUAGAGGCUGUAUAAAUGCACUGGUUAAGAAUAUAGAAAAUGGAAUAUUGUAUUAAAAUUCCCAGCUUUGUUUACUCAGUCCAUUUGACACUUAAAUUUUCCCCUUCACAUUAUAUUAUGAAAAAUUUCAAGCAUGAACUUGAACACCAAUAAACUCCCUCCCCUAUAAUUGUUAGCAUUUUGCUAUACUUGCAUUUGCUUUAUUACAUUUCCAUCCAUUUUUCCAUUCAUCUUUUUUGUUGGAAGGGGGUGCAUUUCUAAGGAAGUUACAAACAUCAAUACCCUACUUGAUAACUAAAUUUUAACCACCUUCCAACUCCCCCUGCGUGCACACUCAAGACUAGCUCAGAACCUCCCUAUAGGCUGUUAAGCAUUUUAAUCUCAUCUCAUUGUCCAUACCAAGACACUGCUUCUAAUUGAAACAUGUCCAGAAUCAACUGCAUAGCCAGAAGACAAUGUUUAUUAAGUCUUACCCUGGCUUUUUCUACAUAUCCAGAACUGUGUAAUUUAUUCAAAUGAUAUUAAAGCUGGAAGGAAAAAUUACCUGAUCAUGAGCCACAAGCUCCAGUGUUCCUGUGAACCAGACAUGUAACAAAAAGCGGGCUCCUGUAAGAUAAUCUGUUGGUCCUGAUAACACAGACUGACCCAGACUCGGUGUGGGAGGCGAUAAACAGAAGUCGAAUUAACCAGAAAGCUUGAGAAAACAGAAUUGACAGUCAUGGCAAGGCUUCCAACCUCAGCCUGCAGGCUCCCAGAAUCCAGUAUUUUAACCGGUAUCUCUCCUUUUGUCUCCCCUGCGGGUCUACUUACUUCAAAGUAAAAAUCUAUCACAGUAACUUAAAUGGUAUGCUGUUAAACAGAACUUUUCUUUAAUUACAAGUAUUUAUGGAUGCUGUAGUGAUAAUCAUGCAUUUAAAUGCAAAGCAUACCAAUGAAAAUGGUUAAGUGCGUGGCUGCUAACCCAAAGGCUGGUGGCUCGAGCCCACCCAAUGGCUCCGAGGGAGAAAGACCUGGCAAUCUGCUCCCGUGAAGAUUACAGCCUAGAAAACCUGAUGGGGCAGUUCUACUCUGUCACAUGCAGAUGCUGUGGGUCAAAAAUAGACCGCACAACACCUAAAAACAACAAUGGAAACAGUAGCACAGGU